GGCGGUCCCAUGAAACAGUAAAUUCACCCAGCUUAUUUCACAAGAAUCAUGUGGUGACGAAGAAAGCAGGAACUUUGAGGUUGGUGACUGAGACAGUCGACUAGUAAAGGCAGAGACUUCAACAAGCAAGAAUGUAUGAUUGAUUCAUUGAAAGAGAAAAAAGAAAAUUCCUAGUAAACGCGGUAGUGAGUAUGUUUUUAGGUAAAUUAUGUGACACUCACGUAUUCUUUGGCGAGUGGUAACACAAACAUCCCCCGGAAGACUCCAGCUCCAAAGGAUAGGGACAGAGGGAGGUCCCAUCUCAGAGGGAGAAUCUUGAGAGAGCGAGAGAGGGUUGCUACAGCUCUGGUUCAUUGCGGUGCUCGAUCUGGGGGUAUAUGAUACCCAUUUUUUCUCCCAAGCUACGUAUGUGUGAUCAGAGAGUGUACUAGAGUUCAAUGGGGAUCUUAUGAAGAGUUUGAAUUCGGUGGGAGAAUCCAGCAGAUUUUGUACUUCAAUUUAAAGAUGUAAUUUCAAUCCCAAGAUUUUUAUGUCCUUUUGUUCUGCAGUACUCAAUUACCAAUGGGAAAGGAAAACUUGUUGCAUACAGUAAAGGAUGGCAUCAGCAACGAGGAUUGCUUACGUAUUGAGAGUGAAGAAUCAGGGACUCACGCACGCCAUAGUCUAGACAAGGAGGCAGGCUUGCCAUGUUGUCGUGUCUGCCAAUGUGCUGAACCUGACACAAGGGGAGAUAGUGUAUUAAGUUUGUUGGGAAUCACUCCUCCAUUACAAGAAGCAAGUAAAAGCUAUGGGGAGGCGCAGCCUAAUAGAAACGAAGUUCUGAAAGAUGUUGAAAAUAACUUUUCUCUCAAAAAGAACAUUGGAAGAGAAGCUGGGCUUGCGAAGUUUAUUAGUCCCGAUGGGGAGGUUUUCAUUUGUAGUACAGAUUUGGAGAUGGGACCAGGUCACCAUCAAGACACAUUGGUAGAGCUUGGUUGUUCUUGCAAAAAUGACCUUGCUUUAGUACACUAUGCCUGUGCUCUAAAAUGGUUUGUUAACCAUGGAUCCACUGUUUGUGAAAUUUGUGGACAUGUUGCAAACAAUAUUAGAACUGCUGACUUCAGAAAGGUUGUUGGUUCUUUAAAGGAAUUUGGAUCAUUGAGAGAAAGGACUGCUAGUGGAGAACCAAUUCCUGCACUGCUGCCUACAAAUCAAGGUGCAGAUCCUGAUGCCGUGGCUGCCAUCCGAAGGCUGCGGCUUAGUGAGAUUUCAAUGUGGUUUAAUCCGCAUAAUAAUAAUAACUAUAACAAUUCUGCUGCAGUUUCACAGGUUGUUUCUGAACAACCUUUGAAUACUGUCUCAGAAGAUGUUGUCCCUGAUGAAAAUCCUGCAACCAAGUGGGCUGUGGAAGGUACUGGAAUUCUGCUUGCUACAGGACUUCUUACUGUUACUCUUGCAUGGCUUAUCGCCCCUCGUGUUGGGAAGAAAACUGCCAGAAGCGGCCUUCAUAUUCUCCUAGGAGGCAUUUGUGCCCUAACAGUUGUGGUUUUCUUUCGCUUUGUAAAAACCUCAAGGUUUCAAAGCCCUUUUUAUUUGCCUUAUGUUCCCGCUGAACCUGCAAUGCUGUUCAAAUUAUCAGCUUCCUAUAUUCUAGCUGUCUUAACACAUUUUUUGAGGGAAUGGUGCAAAUGGGAAAGAACUCAGAACUUUAUCUGGAGGAAGAAAGUAGAAGUUUCUAAGAUAAGAUGAUGGAGAAAGAAGAGGGAAGGUACCAGGGUAGGGCGCUCUGUAAGUUAAAAAAAAAGUUUGUGCUUACCAGAAUCAAGUAUGGACCGGCACGCUACUGGGCAAUCCUGUUUGUCUUCUGGUUUCUUGUCUUUGGUAUAUGGGCUUCACGCACCCAUGGCGCUCAUGCGACGUGAUUAUGUCAGCAUAAUAUUUAUU
RNA transcript from Carya illinoinensis, 1923 nucleotides. RefSeq lists it as uncharacterized. The transcript is spliced from 6 exons. Lineage: Eukaryota; Viridiplantae; Streptophyta; Magnoliopsida; Fagales; Juglandaceae. The record is from RefSeq and is a predicted model, not a curated record.